Molecule: non-coding RNA, 34 nt
Organism: Proteiniphilum acetatigenes
Lineage: Bacteria; Pseudomonadati; Bacteroidota; Bacteroidia; Bacteroidales; Dysgonomonadaceae
Source: Rfam
GAUUACAUCCCAACCUUCUCUGUAAUCGCGGCUG